GGAGGGUUAGCCUAAUGGUAAGGCACCGGUCUUGAAAACCGGCGGGCUUACGCCCUUGAGGGUUCGAGUCCCUUGCCCUCCGCCA
Molecule: transfer RNA, 85 nt
Filed under: Deltaproteobacteria bacterium
Lineage: Bacteria; Pseudomonadati; Myxococcota; Myxococcia
Description: tRNA-Ser
Rfam family: tRNA
About the family: Transfer RNA (tRNA) molecules are approximately 80 nucleotides in length. Their secondary structure includes four short double-helical elements and three loops (D, anti-codon, and T loops).
Source: RNAcentral